RNAcentral lists this ribosomal RNA (269 nucleotides) under uncultured prokaryote. RNAcentral's name for it is "partial 16S ribosomal RNA". It matches the Rfam family "Bacterial small subunit ribosomal RNA", at positions 524 to 792 of the family's 1533-position model. The record is from RNAcentral.
UACGGAGGGUGCAAGCGUUAUUCGGAAUUACUGGGCGUAAAGGGCGCGUAGGCGGCACUUUAAGUCAGACGUGAAAGCCCGGGGCUCAACCCCGGAAGUGCGUUUGAAACUAAGGAGCUUGAGUACGGGAGAGGGAAGUGGAAUUCCUGGUGUAGAGGUGAAAUUCGUAGAUAUCAGGAGGAACACCGGUGGCGAAGGCGACUUCCUGGACCGAUACUGACGCUAAGGCGCGAAAGCGUGGGGAGCAAACAGGAUUAGAUACCCCCGUA